UGGAGGUCUCCUUCAACUCCAGCCCUAAGGAGGAGGGAAAUGGGGCAUGAUCACACAGCUUGGUUUAAUAGCUGGCACCCCAGCUUCUCUCUCUUGGAAAACCUGCCUUUAAUUAUUAUGCGUUCCCACCCUGAGGAUUCUCUUACUCACAGAAUGGGAAAAUACAGGACUUACCACGUAAAAGACAUCCAGUUGGUGGAUGGUACCUUUAAAACAAGGCAGGAGUCUUAUGGAUUGGAUCCGAUUGACCAAAAGUGGAAAGGACUUCACGGGAUUGAAGGGCGGGUUAAUUGAAGUAACAGAAGAAGAACUUAAGAAGCACAACAAGAAAGACGACUUCAGUCAUGACAGCAGGUGCAUACAAGAGCCUUUGUUAUGAGCUGCAAGUUUCCUUACCACUGAAAUUGUAUCACUGUUCUGCAGUAAACACUUGUAUUUUAUGACAUGAUAAACUAAGCAAUCAUUUUGGUCACUUUUUAUGCUGCAAGAUAUCUUCUGAGCAAUACAGAUUAAGUUUUACACUGCACUGUUCACUCAGGAAUCGAUGGUGUAUAUCCUUAUUAGUCUUAACACACAGAAUGCUGUAACUAUUUGUGGUCAGGUUUUGUGGGUGUCCAUGGCAUUGUUACAGAUAGAAUAAAACUAUACUUCAUACUUUUU
RNAcentral lists this long non-coding RNA (660 nucleotides) under Rattus norvegicus (Norway rat). RNAcentral describes it as "long non-coding RNA NONRATT027932". Lineage: Eukaryota; Metazoa; Chordata; Mammalia; Rodentia; Muridae. The record is from RNAcentral.